CGGAUCUCGAAAGCCUGUCCCAGUUCGGACUGGAGUCUGCAACCCGACUCCACGAAGUUGGAUUCGCUAGUAAUCGCGCAUCAGCCAUGGCGCGGUGAAUACGUUCCCGGGCCUUGUACACACCGCCCGUCAAGCCAUGGGAGCCGAGGGCGCCUGAAGUCCGGGACCGCGAGGACCGGCCUAGGGCGAAACUGGUAACUGGGGCUAAGUCGUAACAAGGUAAC
This 224-nucleotide ribosomal RNA is filed under the name uncultured bacterium. RNAcentral's name for it is "partial 16S ribosomal RNA". It matches the Rfam family "Bacterial small subunit ribosomal RNA", at positions 1268 to 1500 of the family's 1533-position model. The record is from RNAcentral.